This 253-nucleotide ribosomal RNA is filed under the name uncultured bacterium. Its description in RNAcentral is "partial 16S ribosomal RNA". It matches the Rfam family "Bacterial small subunit ribosomal RNA", at positions 524 to 776 of the family's 1533-position model. The record is from RNAcentral.
UACGGAGGGUGCGAACGUUAAUCGGAAUUACUGGGCGUAAAGCGCACGUAGGCGGUUUGUUAAGUGGGAUGUGAAAUCCCCGGGCUCAACCUGGGAAUUGCAUUUCAAACUGGCAGACUAGAGUGUAGUAGAGGGGGGUAGAAUUCCAGGUGUAGCGGUGAAAUGCGUAGAGAUCUGGAGGAAUACCGAUGGCGAAGGCAGCCACCUGGGUCAACACUGACGCUCAUGUACGAAAGCGUGGGGAGCAAACGGG